AAGCUGCCAGAUUUCUCAAGAGACUUAUCCGGCCGGCUACAGACCCUUUAGACCCAAUAAUAACGGUUACCACUCGAGCCGCCGGUGUUACCGCGGCGGCUGGCACCGGUCUUGCCCGGCCCUUGCUAUGAAAUGCUUUUUAGGCAUCUCGACAGCCAGAUUUGUAACCUGGCACUCGAGGUUCCCUUAUCGCUGUUGCCAGCAUUGUAAAGUUUUCGCGCCUGCUGCACCCCGUAGGGCCUGGAUUCGUGUCUCAGAAUCCAUCUCCGGGCUCUUGCUCUCACAACCCGUACCCGUCGUAGGCUAGUAGGUACGCUACACCCACUACUACCUGAUAGGCCGCAGACCCAUCCUUAGGCGCCGGAGCUUUAAAUCUCGAUGCAUUCCAGCAAUCGAGACCUAUCGGGUAUUAUACCCAGUUUCCCGGGUUUAUACCCAACCUAAAGGCAGGUUGUCCACGUGUUACUGAGCAGUUCGCCAUGUAUUGCUACAUUCGACU
This 499-nucleotide ribosomal RNA is filed under the name uncultured archaeon. Its description in RNAcentral is "partial 16S ribosomal RNA". The record is from RNAcentral.